UUGCCAGCCCGCUCAGUCAGAGUUUGAUCCUGGCUCAGAAUGAACGCUGGCGGCAGGCCUAACACAUGCAAGUCGAACGGAGUUAUAUUGUAGCUUGCUAUGGUAUAACUUAGUGGCAGACGGGUGAGUAAUGUAUAGGAAUCUACCUAGUAGUACGGAAUAAUUGUUGGAAACGGCAACUAAUACCGUAUACGCCCUACGGGGGAAAAAUUUAUUGCUAUUAGAUGAGCCUAUAUUAGAUUAGCUAGUUGGUGGAGUAAUAGCCUACCAAGGCAAUGAUCUAUAGCUGAUCUGAGAGGAUGAUUAGCCACACUGGAACUGAGAUACGGUCCAG
RNAcentral lists this ribosomal RNA (334 nucleotides) under uncultured bacterium. RNAcentral's name for it is "bacterial SSU rRNA". It matches the Rfam family "Bacterial small subunit ribosomal RNA", at positions 1 to 334 of the family's 1533-position model. The record is from RNAcentral.